CCUACGGGAGGCAGCAGUGGGGAAUAUUGGACAAUGGGGGCAACCCUGAUCCAGCCAUGCCGCGUGAGUGAUGAAGGCCUUCGGGUUGUAAAGCUCUUUUGGCGGGGACGAUGAUGACGGUACCCGCAGAAUAAGCCCCGGCUAACUUCGUGCCAGCAGCCGCGGUAAGACGAAGGGGGCUAGCGUUGUUCGGAAUUACUGGGCGUAAAGCGAGUGUAGGUGGUUGUCCAAGUUGGAUGUGAAAGCCUUGAGCUCAACUCAAGAAAUGCAUUCAGGACUGGGCGGCUAGAGGACCGGAGAGGAUAGUGGAAUUCCCAGUGUAGUGGUGAAAUACGUAGAGAUUGGGAAGAACACCAGUGGCGAAGGCGGCUAUCUGGACGGUUUCUGACACUAAGACUCGAAAGCGCGGGGAGCAAACAGGAUUAGAUACCCUGGUAGUCCACGCCGUAAACGAUGGGUGCUAGACGUUGGCGAGCUUGCUCGUCAGUGUCGCNGCUAACGACGUUAACGUACACCCGCCGUCGGGUAGGUACGGCCGGCGAACGGUAGUAAACGUACGAAAGAAGUAGUAAGGUACGUGUUAGAGUAGUUCGACGACGACGACGACGGAGGGAGGAG
Molecule: ribosomal RNA, 618 nt
Filed under: uncultured bacterium
Lineage: Bacteria
Description: bacterial SSU rRNA
Rfam family: Bacterial small subunit ribosomal RNA (bases 1-520)
Source: RNAcentral